AAAAUCCUGUCUGGUAAGAUUAUAGCCGAAUCACCAGUAGCGAGUCUUGGAGUCUUUUGGAGUAAUCCAUAAGAUUUAAGCGUAGACAGUUAGGUAAUAGGCCUGUAAAAAUGAAAUCCCAAUAAGAUUUCUGUGAUUGAGCCCCGAAAUGUCCGACAAUGGGAAGGUCGACGAUUUCAGAGAAGUCGGAAGACCACAUCUUGCUCUCCGUUAAGGCAAGGAGAGCAAGGCUUCCCCGGGGUCAAAGAGCC
This is a non-coding RNA of Actinobacteria bacterium RBG_13_35_12, 251 nucleotides long. The record is from Rfam. Lineage: Bacteria; Bacillati; Actinomycetota.